This is a long non-coding RNA of Ctenocephalides felis (cat flea), 770 nucleotides long. RefSeq lists it as uncharacterized. The transcript has 3 exons. NCBI's taxonomy places the organism in Eukaryota, Metazoa, Arthropoda, Insecta, Siphonaptera, Pulicidae. The record is from RefSeq and is a predicted model, not a curated record.
AUCUUUUGCAUUGCACAACGGAUUUAUUAUAGUGUGGCGGUUCUAUACGAAUUAUGUUGUUAAGAAUCUUUGUUACGCUGUAUAUGUCUUUGUUAUUUUUUGCGGGUUCAAGAUCAAGGUAAAAUAAAUUUAGAAGAAUAAAUGUUGAUGGAUCACCAUGGGUUCCCAAGCCUUAUGAUCGCAUUUGCAGUGAACAUUUCAUUGGAGGAAAAAAAUCGGACGCCGUAUUGAGUCCUAGCUUCGUUCCGACAAUCUUCCCUGCAAUUUAUAAAACUCGAAAAGUUAGUGAAUCUACGAUUAUAAGCAGAUACAAGCGUUUAAUUACCCGUAAAAUAAAAAAAAAAUCACCUCCACCGUCAACUUCUGAACUCACUAUACAAGAACCAAUGCAAGUGAUAAAUGAAUGUGAACCUCCUCCGAUUGUAUCUCUAAAAGUUGACCAAGAGUGCCAAGUUGAUUUUUACUCAAGCUCCGAUGUCAACUCACAUACAUUUAUUUGCAACCGUUAUAUAACAAAUAAUUUAUGUCAUGCUGAAACUCAAACAGAAAUAGUUGUAGAUACUAGGCCGGUAAAAAUACAUGUUAGUAAUAAAAAAUUUGUUAAUAAAAAAACGCGGUAAUGAUCAAAAAACGUUUGCUGAUAAAGAAAGUCAAGCAGAUAAACUGAAAAUUUCAAGAGAUCAGUAAAUAACUUUGCGAAUAAUUGUAUUGUAGUAAUUUGGAUUAUGCUCAUAUCCUAAUUAUGUCUUUUAUCAUUAACAUAUAUUUAU